This 4034-nucleotide long non-coding RNA is filed under the name Equus caballus (horse). RNAcentral's name for it is "lncRNA (ENSECAG00000049781.1)". Lineage: Eukaryota; Metazoa; Chordata; Mammalia; Perissodactyla; Equidae. The record is from RNAcentral.
CACAAGUAUUUCUCCAUUGAUAGAGAUUAUCUCCUCCCAACGGCUUAGAUGAUACAGGAAGGCUACAGAAGAUUGGAAUUGGAUACUUAUCCCUCCCCAAGAAAGAUAAGACUCUGGGAAAAUCUUUUCCCUUGAGAGUAGGCCUUUGUUAAGGAAAACUCUCUGGGUACAUUUGACAACGACUAUUCUUGCCCUCCCUCUGCCAGAGCCAUAAGUUCACGAUUCUUGGAUCUUUUCUGUUAGAACCUGAUGGGGUUCCUGGAAGUAAAAUCCAUGAAACUGUGGGACUUCUUCUAAGACUGUGAUCCUCAGGAGUUUCUUACUCUCAUCAUAGUCCACAUUCAGCUUCCAACAAUUCAUCAAAAUUACCAUGUUUCAAAAUAAAUAAAAUAGAAGGGAAGCCUAGAAGAAGUGAAAGGAACGCCUUCUCUGCUGAUGGAUAUACCACAGACUUUGAGGAUUUCCUAGCAAAUGGGAAAACCAUUCGUGUUCAGAAGACCUGUGUUCAAACCCUAGUUGCUUUCCUGACAAACUGUGAGGUCUUAAAGAUCCUACUGUCUCCAAGCCUGUAAAGCUGGAAUAGUAGCACCUAGAUCGUGUGCAACAGCACCUGAUGAGCAUCAGCCCUUCAAAACUGUUAUCUGAUUGCUUCUUUUUUAAAAGAGAGUGGGAAGACGGCUGGUGCUGGCUGAGGUGAAAUAAGCCUGCUGAAGCCUAACUCUCCAGCUGAUGACAACUAAAAGCUAUGGACAAAAUACGAAAAUUGGUGCUAUGAGAACUCUGACAUGUACAUAAGAGCAAGCAGAUGGGGGAAGGAAGUCAAAAUCUGAAGAAAGACCAGCGGUGAUGUCUCCUAUUUGGUUCUUUGUUCCUUUAACUCCAGGCUUUGAUCAGCAGACAAAGCCAUAUUGAGGAAUUGUGCAGUGCGUACAGGCAGCCGAAACUUCAAGAAGAUCUCUUCUUCUGACCACAAUACCAGGAUAAAGGACUCCAUCAAUUCACAGAGUAGGGGGAAAAGUCCCAUUUUGUUUCUUUUUUCUCUCCUACUCAUCCUGAGGCCAGCAUCAGCUGCUGAGCUGCACUGUUGCAACUGAGGCAGAGGUAGCUGAAAGUCCAAGGGCAAGCCCAUCUCUCGGGAUAAAGGGACCAGGGAAAGGAGCCUCUGUUCUGCAGUGUGGAGGGCAUCCCUGUGAUUUCUUUUUCCUCUCUAUUCUCUUGCUUCUUCUCCCUGUGAGCAGGCCCAUUCACACUAAACUGUAAACCUGUGCAGGUGGCUAAAACUGAGAGAACUCCAUUUUUUUUUUAGCCAGCGGAAUAGAGUUAAAGGGCUCGUGGGACUCACAGAGUGUGAGGAGUUCAUGGAGUUGGAGAAGCAGAUCCCCUAAUUCUUUGUAUAAAUUGACACAAAUCCCAGUCUCAGCCUCAAGCUGCAGAUGUGUGGAACACACCCAAAGAAGCAUAGUAAAGGCUUUGAUAUUGGAUGUAUAAUAUAAACCACCACCCAAGUCCCAGAUUAACCCUACCAGCAGCUUAUGUGAGGAGUAGACCCAAAGAGCAUAGCAAAGGGCAUUGGUAUCACCACCUACAGAAAGAAAGACAGAACUUGUGGUGUAAACUUAACUCAGUCGACUGCUUGCUCAAAGAAAAGCAAAUAAAAUUUCUCCAGAGGAAUUUCAAAGGACCCAGAUCCCACAACAUAAGAUUAAAAAUGCCCAUGAUAAAAUUUUAAAAAGUACUAGAUAAACAAAAGAGGAAAAUAUGACCAAUUCCUAAGGAAAAGCAUAACAAAACAAAACAAUGAACAGAUGCCAACCCUGAUAUGUUGGAAUUACCAGACAAAAGGUUUAAAGCAGAUAAUAGAAUCAUCUGCUAUGAGGUAAACACCUUUGAAAUUGACGUCAAGAUAGAAGUUCUUAGCAGAAACUAGAAAUUAUAAAAAAGAACCAACUGGAAAUUUUAAAACUGAAUAAUGAUACAAUACCUUAAAUAAAAAUACUAGCUGGAUGAGCUCAUUAUCAGAGUGCAGCUGAUAAAGAGUCGAUAAACAGAACACAGAUCAAAAGAAAUUAUCCAAUUUGAAGAAGAGUAAUAAAAAGAAUUAAAAAAAUGAACAAAUCCUCAACAAUAUCAAAUAUUCUAACACCUAUGUCACUGAAGCCCUGAAAGAGGGAGAAAAAUAUUUGUAGAGAAAAAUGUUUGAAGAAAUAAUGUCUGAAAAUUUCACAAAUUUAGUGAAAGACAUAAAUUUACCAGAUUUUGCUCAGUAAGCUGCAAAAGAAUAAUUUUAAAAAAAUGCCAACACACACCAUAAUCAAAUGACUGAAAACAGUGACUUAAAUACCAAGAGGAGAGAAAUUGAAGCAUACUAUUGUAAUGUUCUUACACUAUAUGUGAAGUGAUAUAAAAGUAAGCAUCUGUUUCCUGUAACUGUGAUAUUUUGGCAUUAUUUUAAAAUUAUGUAGAUAUAAAGACACAUCCCAGCUUGAGUCUGUGUAGGAAUCAGAAAUAUGUGGUGAAAAAAUGAGGCAGACUUGACAGAAUCUAUUGGCAUGACAACUGAGAUGUUUUCUGGGAGAGAACUUACUCUAAGGCAAGAAAGAGCCCGGCAUGAAAUUGACAUUGUAAUAAAGCUUUGGUCAUUGUAGGGAAGAGCAAGUCCAAGUGCAGUCUUGAUUUUAUUUGUCCCCUUUUCUAGCUCUCAUUCAUUUUUAAGCAAAUAUUUGAUGCACAUUAUGAUGAAUGAAACAGAUAUAGUUACUUUCCUCCCGAUGCUUUCAGUCUGGUUUGGAUUGUGUCAGUCUGCAAUGAUUAUAAUUAAAACUUUAAAUUGCUGUCUGCUAAAAUCUCUGUAAAAAAAAAAGGAGAUAUAGUUCCUGCCUUCAUAGAACUUACAGUCUACUUCUAACAAAAGAUGAUACAUGGGACUGAGGGAAGCUUUCUCCCACACUUUAUCACAAAAUAGUAGUCAACUUUGGCAUACUAAGAAUGCUGGUGAAUUGAUAAAGAUUCCAGCAGGGAACUGGCUCCAGACAGAGCAAUAGCAGGGUUAGCAAGAUACUGGCGCAGCAGUGAGAACUAGCAGAAGUAUAUUUUGCACAGUGAAUGAUAGUGAAGCUAGCAAAGACUUUUGAGCCUGUUCGUCCAGCAGGAUCUGAUUUUUUUUGUAACUGCAAGUGAGACAUUUCCCAAGGAUUCUCAGAAAUACUUAAGGGACUCUACAGAAGGCUGAGAUCCUAUAAGCAGGUGGGGACAAGAGCCAGUGAAAUUUGAAUGCUUACCUAAUAUGCGACCUCAAGUAUUCUCAGAAACUGGUGAGGCCUGGGAAAAGUCAAACUGUAUUUGAAUGUCUGUGGGUAUGUCUGAUUUUUGCACGUAUGAGAUUUCAGAGCAGGCAUCCAGACACAAUCAAUUCCAGAUGCAAGUUAAACUUACAUUAUAUAAGUUAAAAAUUAUCUUUCAUGAUAGAAAUAUAAACAUAAUACUGACUGUUCUGUUAUUUCCCCUUUCAAGCAUUAAUAGAAUUUGUCUACAUUAAUUGGGCAUGCACAUAUGCUUAUUUAGAGUAUGGUAAUCUAUUCUUGUACCCUCCUGACCUUGAUUCUUUCUCUUCAGAUAGCUUAAAGAGUCUGGAUGAGAAAUCGCUAUGGGAUGCAUCUCUAUGGCUUCACUAAUGAUAUAAGAACAUAGCUGGGUUUUAUAUCAAGAUGUAGGACUUGGCUUUAAUGAUAAUACGAACUAGGAAACCAAAGAUUGGAGCCAACGCUUCAAGAUAGCUCUCAGUUCUAUUUCAAAAAGCCAGGCCCCAAAUAGAUUCUCUCGUUGUGAUUUAAAGCAAUAGUUGUAAAUUUCUUUUUUCACUGCGUCUCACAGAAUAGAUAAAGACUGCAUACUCAUCACAUUUCCAUAGACAGAUUCCGAUUUCAGUUAUGGGUAAUGAAAUACAUAAAAUAGUCAGUCAGUGUGUUCUCUCUCUUUCUUUUCCACUCAAGACAGGGUAAGGGAAUAUACACUACAAAGGAUAGCAUAAUUAUAAG